RNAcentral lists this long non-coding RNA (395 nucleotides) under Homo sapiens (human). RNAcentral describes it as "non-protein coding lnc-LYZL2-7:1". The record is from RNAcentral. Lineage: Eukaryota; Metazoa; Chordata; Mammalia; Primates; Hominidae.
AGUAUUUGAGAUAUGCUUCUACUAAGCCAUGCGAUGUUUAAGAUAUCUAAUACAAAAAAAAAAUUGUUGUCAAUCUGAAACUCAAAUUUAACCAGCAUCCUGUAUUUUCUCUGGCACUCCUACUCCCCAUGCCUCUCUGGAGUUGAGAGGUAAGAGGCCAGCAGGGAAAGAGGUCUGGCAGUCACCUGCCUCAAACUUCGGCUGAAGAGGCAAGAGCUGCCCUGGGGGGCCUGUUGCUCUCUUCAUUCCCAGAACCAAAUGCUGUCCUCAAGUUAUCCCCAGUCCCCCCUUCUCCUGAGUAAGGAGCAUUAUAUUUAGGGUAGGAAAACACCAGUAUGACUUUUAUACUGAUGAUCUCCAAGAUCUUCUAAUUUUAAAGUGAAACAAGGAGAUAC